Molecule: transfer-messenger RNA, 343 nt
Filed under: Bacilli
Lineage: Bacteria; Bacillati; Bacillota
Also listed under: 1 other name
Description: UMGS1613 sp015059155 Standard tmRNA
Rfam family: transfer-messenger RNA
About the family: Bacterial tmRNA, also known as 10Sa RNA or SsrA, is named for its dual tRNA and mRNA-like properties.
Source: RNAcentral
GGGGCCGUCUAGUUUCGACAGGUAUACUUGAGCUCUAAUCGCAAGUCGUAAGGUGAUACGUCAAAUCCCAAAAUAAAAUAACUGGAAACAGAAAUCAAUUAGCUUUCGCUUAAGAUAAAUAGAAGGCUGCUUCAGUAAAUCUUUUCCUACGAGAUUUAUAUGAGGCUCGAAUGAGUAGGAUAUAUUAUUAUGAUGUCUAUAAAUAAUAACGAAUAAUAUAGACUUACUAUUAAAUUGUUUGUUGAUUAACGUAUUUAAUAGGACAUUUAUUAAUCAACUAAACUUGUAGACGUUAUUGUGUUAGUGUAUUUGGACAGGAGUGCGAUUCUCCUCGGCUCCACCA